GACGAACGCUGGCGGCGUGCUUAACACAUGCAAGUCGAACGGAAAGGCCCUGCUUGUGUGUGGUGCUCGAGUGGCGAACGGGUGAGUAACACGUGAGUAACCUGCCCUUUACUUUGGGAUAACUUCAGGAAACUGGGGCUAAUACCGGAUAGGAGCUCCUGCUGCAUGGUGGGGGUUGGAAAGUUUCGGCGGUUGGGGAUGGACUCGCGGCUUAUCAGCUUGUUGGUGGGGUAGUGGCUUACCCAGGCUUUGACGGGUAGCCGGCCUGAGUGGGUGAGCGGCGACAUUGGGACUGAGAUACGGCACAGACGCCGACGGGAGGCAGCAGUGGGGAAUAUUGCACAAUGGGCGGAAGCCUGAUGCAGCAACGCCGCGUGCGGGAUGACGGCCUUCGGGUUGUAAACCGCUUUCGCCUGUGACGAAGCGUGAGUGACGGUAAUGGGUAAAGAAGCACCGGCUAACUACGUG
RNAcentral lists this ribosomal RNA (468 nucleotides) under uncultured bacterium. RNAcentral's name for it is "partial 16S ribosomal RNA". It matches the Rfam family "Bacterial small subunit ribosomal RNA", at positions 28 to 507 of the family's 1533-position model. The record is from RNAcentral.